UUAAUGAGUUUUAGAUAAUUUUAGUUGUAUUUCUUUGUAAUUUUGUGUUGUACAAAGAUUAAUUUAACAUUUUCUCUGGAAGUAUUAAUUUAGAAAGAUAAUAUGCUUCAUUGGUGUUGUGUUUUGAAGUGUGAAAUGCAAAGUAAUUGUGAUAGAAGUCAAGAUAAAGUUCACUUUUAAACUGAACUAAAUAAGGUAUCUGAGAGACAACAAUGGUUAAAUGCAAUACAAUGUACAGGUUUUACUAGCGAAAUGAAAAUUUUCCUGUCCUGUCUGCUGUAAUCAUUUUAUAUCUGGAAAACCAGCCGACUUAAUCGAUAAUAACAAUCUCCAGAUUGGGUUCCUUCAAUAAAUAUGGGCUAUAAACACAAUGAAAUAAGUUCCCCAAAAUCUAAAAUGGAGUGGUAUCAAAGGAGAAUUAAAGGAAAAAAUAUUCAUUUUUAAAUUAUUUAUAAGGCACUGGACUGUCUUAAAUUCUACAAUAAUACUAGAAUCAGCUGAGAGAAGUGGUCUACAAAAAACCAGGAAGGAAACGGAAUAUGUGGCUACGAAAGGCAAAAGAAAGGUUUACAAAGCAAAUGUGACACAUUUUUUUGAAAUAUUUAGGAAUAUCAGUAAAUUGCAUUAAAAAAAUGUAUGAAAAGAUUUUGUUCAAUAAAAAUGUUUAUAUUUAUCACGGAUGUAUUAUUUGGUAUGGCCACAUAUCGUCAGUGAUGUAAUAAUACAUCCUAUCUGUUUUUUCAUGAGUUUUGUAAGAGAGACUAAAAACUUGUCUUAGGGUCACCUCCUGUUUUCAUAUGAUAUUUUUUGACUUGUUUUGUAGUAAAUUAAACUAUCUAUGAACUACAAAACAAGU
Long non-coding RNA from Diabrotica virgifera virgifera (western corn rootworm), 856 nucleotides. RefSeq lists it as uncharacterized. NCBI's taxonomy places the organism in Eukaryota, Metazoa, Arthropoda, Insecta, Coleoptera, Chrysomelidae. The record is from RefSeq and is a predicted model, not a curated record. The transcript is spliced from 3 exons.